GGUGCUGUGGCUUAGUUGGUUAAAGCCCCUGUCCUGUAAACAGGAGAUCCUGGGUUCAAAUCCCAGCAGUGCUU
Molecule: transfer RNA, 74 nt
Filed under: Perca flavescens (yellow perch)
Lineage: Eukaryota; Metazoa; Chordata; Actinopteri; Perciformes; Percidae
Rfam family: tRNA
About the family: Transfer RNA (tRNA) molecules are approximately 80 nucleotides in length. Their secondary structure includes four short double-helical elements and three loops (D, anti-codon, and T loops).
Source: Rfam by way of RNAcentral